GUUGUCUGUAAUCCAGGCCACGAGGUCCUGGUCCACCAGCAACACUUCUCUGGAUCCUGAGUGGCUGGACCAUUUUAAAAGCACUUGACAAGACAAAGAACAUGAUCCUCGGAGCGCUGCGUCACCUCUCCAGGCAUGUGUAAAAUCUGUGAAGCAGGUGAAUGAUACCAAUCUCACCCUGGUUUGCAAAGUGCAGCAGAUCCAAGCAGUCAUGUACCAGGGGCUUGCGGUGCUGCAGAACCAGCCUAUAAAAACCUUUAUUAUAUGAAAUGUUAAGGCCAUAAACUUGAAGUUGUUGAUCUGAAACAGAUAAGCUGAUCUGUGAAACAUGGUGGAAUCUGGAAAUUUACAAAUAAAUGCAUUCAAAUUAUUCAGGAAGAACAUUAUGAUGCAGUAAGGCAAUGAUCCAAAACACAGUGCCACCUCAACAAAGACCACUAAGAAAAAAGUGGAAGGUUUUAGGUCAAGUCAAUACACCAGACAUGCAAUUAAACAUAUAUUUUUUCUCCUAAAGGCAGAAACAAAAGUGCAAUAAAAAAGAAAACAACAAUUUGGUUAUGUCAAUGAGUCACAGGCUUGAUGCAGCGGUUACAAGCAAGGGUUCCAAUACUUGUCCUUUUCUAAAAAUUGGGUAGUCUGAUACAAAAGUUUAAAUGUUUAAUAAAACUACAUGUAAAUACCAGGAAAUACUGUAGAAGCUAAAAUCCUAAACUCUCUUUUCAUAGUAAUCCUAUGAUCAUAAACCCAAAUGUCAAUUCCAAAAGACUCCAGUAGAUUCUGCUUUACUUUAAGACUGUCUCAUUCAAUACAUUUGGUCAUCUGUCAACAAAAUGUACCAUAGUACAAGUUAACACAGCAAGUAAACAGCAGGAAAAGAAUUGUGAGAUUCUGAUCUACUGUCUCAUAUGUUUUGAUUUUAAACCCAAGUCUUCAGUGUAUAGAAUAACAAAAUACUUUCCAAUACUUUAGGAGAGGUCUGAAUUUCAUUAGGUCAGAAAUAACCUCAUAAUUGAAGUAUUAAAACAGUUUGAGAUUAAAUAUAAAUAUGUGCCAGGUUAGAUGAGGUUCUGAGUGAGUUCCCCAUCCAUUAAGGGAAAAUAAACUUUUCCCCCCAUCAGCCUCAACUGAGGAAAGGAGCAGCAACAGUUAAGUGGAGAAAAACUGGAAUAACACUAUACAUCAAAAAUUGUUACAUUCCAGUAAGAUAGCAGCAGCCCAAAAAAAUGGUCAUAAAUUUGCACACGCUUGCACAUCUUUGUUUUCUCAAACAAUGUGAGAUGUGGCUGCCAAACAAAAAGCUCCAGAUUCACCUACAGAGUUCACCAUGUGGGCGAUACCCUGUAUGACUCAACCUGCAUCUUUAAACUAGAUUAUUUAGAGAAAACACCUGAAGCACAGAGAGAACAUGAAACCUUGAGCAUAUAAGGCAGAGGCAGGGCUCAAACCGCCAUCCCUGGAGGUGAAUGGCAUAUAGUUUAAUUAAAUGGCAUUUAUGAAACAUUUUGAGAUACUAGUGUUGAAUUAAAUAACACUUACAUUUAAAAUUAAGCAGUUACAGUAUGAGAAGAGCUUUAAUUGUACAAACAUUUGUGUCAUUAUUAUUAUCAUCCUGUUGCUGCUCAUUUGAAAUAAAAAGCCAAGUACAUUAUGAAUCCUUUAGGUAAUGAUUUUUAUUGUGUUUAUAUGGGUUGAUUUGGACAACUCUUAUAAAGGAGAAGAACAGUAUUUUUGAUAUGCUGCUGAUGGGUCUACUAAACUGAUAUUUGUGUGCAACAUGGCAAAAUAAAAUAAGUUUGACACUCCUGGCCUAGUUAGAAUCUUACAUAGUAGAGUAUGCCAUGCAUGUUUUAGACAUGUCUUAUUUAAUCCAUUUACAUACAGCACUAAGGUCCCAUUUCUUAAAAACUAGCGUCACCGUUGGUUAAAAUAAAAUAAAAAACCUCUUUAAAUAUAUUCCAAUGUAGCUGGUACACUGUCCACUCUCGUGUAUAAUAUACAUGUCUUCUAAGGUGAAUAAGAAGGAUGCACGACACAGACAUACAGACAGACAGACACACACAAUUAUUAUUAUUAUUAUGCUCGGGUUGUUUGAGACAAAUAAACAGGGAUAAUGAUAGUAAUGAUCUUAAACAUUUGUGUAAUUCAUCAUGUGAACCUGUCAGAAAAUUACGAAAAAUUUCCACCCUCCAGGAACAAGUCCAAUCGGGCCUACAGGGGUCUAGAUCCACAUUGGCAACCCGCAAUAACCUGAAACAGAUAACGUUAGAUAUCAAGG
This is a long non-coding RNA of Tachysurus fulvidraco (yellow catfish), 2275 nucleotides long. RefSeq lists it as uncharacterized. The transcript has 3 exons. Lineage: Eukaryota; Metazoa; Chordata; Actinopteri; Siluriformes; Bagridae. The record is from RefSeq and is a predicted model, not a curated record.